AUUCUUUACUCACCUUAAAGAUGGUGCCUGCCCAGUGAUUUAUAAUUAGAAAAUAAACCUUAAAAUUAAAUUCAACGGCCGCUGUAUUACUGACGGUGAUAAUGUAGGAAAAUAAAUAGUUGUUUAAUUGACGAACGUAGGUGAAUGGCUUUACGAGGUUUCCACUGUCUUAAAUAUAAACACCAAAAAAUUUAAAUAAUAGUGAAGAUGCUAUUUAAAACUGUAAGACGAGAAGACCCUAUAAAGCUUAACUAUAAUCUCAAACCGUAAUUUAGUACAUCUAUUGUAUUUAUUUCUUCUUUGAGAUUGGUAGUUUGGUUGGGGCAACAGCAUUUUAAAACAAAAGAAUGUAAUAAUUAUAUAAUAUAUAAUAAUAUCAUAUUAUUGUUUAAUUUAUAAAUUUAACAAUCACAAAGUGGGUAUAAUGACCUGUCUUUUUUUUAAUUUAAUUAAUGACAAUAAAUAAAUAAAAGCUACUUUAGGGAUAACAGGUUAAUUUUAUCUUAAAGAUGCUAUUGAAGAUAAAGUUUGACACCUCGAUGUUGAAUUAAGUUAUCCUAGUAAUGCAGCAGUUACUAAAGGUUGGUCUGUUCGACCAUUAAAAAUCUUA
RNAcentral lists this ribosomal RNA (610 nucleotides) under Antennella kiwiana. RNAcentral's name for it is "partial 16S ribosomal RNA". It matches the Rfam family "Bacterial large subunit ribosomal RNA", at positions 1816 to 2598 of the family's 2925-position model. Lineage: Eukaryota; Metazoa; Cnidaria; Hydrozoa; Leptothecata; Halopterididae. The record is from RNAcentral.